CCUACGGGUGGCAGCAGUGGGGAAUAUUGCACAAUGGGGGGAACCCUGAUGCAGCGACGCCGCGUGAGUGAAGAAGGAUUUCGGUAUGUAAAGCUCUAUCAGCAGGGAAGAAAAUGACGGUACCUGACUAAGAAGACCCGGCUAACGACGUGCCAGCAGCCGCGGUAAUACGUAGGGGGCAAGCGUUAUCCGGAUUUACUGGGUGUAAAGGGAGCGCAGACGGCUGUGCAAGUCUGGAGUGAAAGGCGGGGGCCCAACCCCCGGACUGCUCUGGAAACUGUAAAGCUGUCGUGCAGGAGAAGUAUGCGGAAUGCGUGGUGUAGCGGUGAAAUGCAUAGAUAUCACGCAGAACUCCGAUUGCGAAGGCAGCAUACCGGCGCCCACCUGACGCUGACGCACGAAAGCGUGGGUAUCGAACAGGAUUAGAUACCCCAGUAGUC
RNAcentral lists this ribosomal RNA (440 nucleotides) under uncultured bacterium. RNAcentral describes it as "partial 16S ribosomal RNA". It matches the Rfam family "Bacterial small subunit ribosomal RNA", at positions 338 to 795 of the family's 1533-position model. The record is from RNAcentral.